This 498-nucleotide ribosomal RNA is filed under the name uncultured bacterium. RNAcentral describes it as "partial 16S ribosomal RNA". It matches the Rfam family "Bacterial small subunit ribosomal RNA", at positions 28 to 507 of the family's 1533-position model. The record is from RNAcentral.
GACGAACGCUGGCGGCGUGCCUAAUACAUGCAAGUCGAGCGGACGGAUGGGAGCUUGCUCCCAGACCGUCAGCGGCGGACGGGUGAGUAACACGUGGGCAACCUGCCUGUAAGACUGGGAUAACUCCGGGAAACCGGGGCUAAUACCGGAUAACUCUUUCCCUCACAUGAGGGAAAGCUGAAAGAUGGCAUCUCGCUAUCACUUACAGAUGGGCCCGCGGCGCAUUAGCUAGUUGGUGAGGUAACGGCUCACCAAGGCGACGAUGCGUAGCCGACCUGAGAGGGUGAUCGGCCACACUGGGACUGAGAUACGGCCCAGACUCCUACGGGAGGCAGCAGUAGGGAAUCUUCCGCAAUGGACGAAAGUCUGACGGAGCAACGCCGCGUGAGUGAUGAAGGUUUUCGGAUCGUAAAACUCUGUUGUCAGGGAAGAACAAGUACCGGAGUAACUGCCGGUACCUUGACGGUACCUGACCAGAAAGCCACGGCUAACUACGUG